UGAUUUCCCUAGUAACGGCGAGUGAAGAGGAAAGAGCUCAAAGUUGGAACCUGUUUGGCCUAGCUAAACAGGAUUGUAAACUGUAGAAGUGGUUUUCCAGGCAAUCCGAGUUAAUAAGUCCUUUGGAACAGGGCAUCAUAGAGGGUGAGAAUCCCGUCUUUGAUUCGAGAAACUUUGCCUUUUGCGAUACACUUUCAAAGAGUCAGGUUGUUUGGGAAUGCAGCCUAAAUUGGGUGGUAAAUCUCACCUAAAGCUAAAUAUUGGCGAGAAACCGAUAGCGAACAAGUACCGUGAGGGAAAGAUGAAAAGAACUUUGAAAAGAGAGUUAAACAGUAUGUGAAAUUGUUAAAAGGGAACCGUUUGGAGCCAGACUGGCUUGUCUGUAAUCAAUCUAGGCUUUGGCCUGGAUGCACUUGCAGAUUAUGCCUGCCAACGACAAUUUGAUUUGAGGGAAAAAACUAGAGGAAAUGUGGCCAAUAUUUUUUUGUUGGUGUUAUAGUCCUUUAGAAAAUACCUUGGAUUGGAUUGAGGAACGCAGCGAAUGCUCUCUUUUUGGGGAGGGCGAGUCUUUGAUAAGUCUUUACGGAUAUGACUGGAGUUAAAAAGACCAGAAGUUGAAGUUUAAACUUGUUUUUAUGUACUUUAAUUCGCUUAGGUUGUUGGCUUAAUGACUCUAAAUGACCCGUCUUGAAACACGGACCAAGGAGUCCACCAUUAGUGCGAGUAUUUGGGUGCCAAACCCAUAUGCGCAAGGAAACUGAAUGAUAUGAAUCCAAUUUUUUUUUAGGAGGCAAUAUCGUCCGGCGUUGACGUUUUAUACUAAAGUGACCGAGAUAAAGCACUAAUGAUGGGACCCGAAAGAUGGUGAACUAUGCCUGAAUAGGGUGAAGCCAGAGGAAACUCUGGUGGAGGCUCGUAGCGAUUCUGACGUGCAAAUCGAUCGUCAAAUUUGGGUAUAGGGGCGAAAGACUAAUCGAACCAUCUAGUAGCUGGUUCCUGCCGA
RNAcentral lists this ribosomal RNA (1003 nucleotides) under Rhizopus americanus. RNAcentral's name for it is "LSU rRNA". It matches the Rfam family "Eukaryotic large subunit ribosomal RNA", at positions 72 to 964 of the family's 3401-position model. The record is from RNAcentral. Lineage: Eukaryota; Fungi; Mucoromycota; Mucoromycetes; Mucorales; Rhizopodaceae.